Molecule: long non-coding RNA, 1664 nt
Organism: Taeniopygia guttata (zebra finch)
Lineage: Eukaryota; Metazoa; Chordata; Aves; Passeriformes; Estrildidae
Source: Ensembl
CACAGGUGAGAAGGCAGCGCCGAGGAAGAGGAGGGCGGGGGUGAAGAGCCGGGAGGAGAGGAAGGCUCACCCCGAGCCCACCCCUGGGGAUGCCCCCCAUGCUCUGCGGGCACAUGGCCGGAGGUGCCCAUGGGAUCCUGUCUCUGCUGACCGUGGUGUUCGUCCUGCCAGAGGUGUCAGGACUCCAGUGUUACGGCUGCAACAUCGUGGUUGGCACCAAAAACGUGGACAUGGGGUGCUCCAACCCCGAGGUGAUCACCUGCUCCCAGUCCCACCAGGGCUUCAAGCACCGGUUCUGCAUUAAAACAGAGAGCGUGGUCCUGGGCAUCCUGCUGACCAGCGGCUGUGCCACCUCUCGCCACUGCCAGCAGCAGGAGCUGCCGGGGGUCCGCAUCCACUGCUGCGACACCGACCUGUGCAACACCUCCCCCGGAGCCCCCCGGCCGCCCCCCGGCCACCUCCUGCUGCUGCCCUGCAUCCUCACCGCCCUGCUCCUCUGGUGAGCCCCCCGUGGGUCUGGGGGAUGUGCCCGGCUCGUGGAAAUGCUGCACUGCAGGCUGCUCUUCCUGCUUGGAGGUCGAUGGCUGUGCAGACCCAACUCCCCACCCCACUGGAUGCCAGCAGAUGGUCCAAAAGCUGUGUAGACUCUGGAAAUCAAAGCAGACAGAAAGUCUGCAGUGAUAAUCACCCUCCUUUAGCCUUUUUUUUGUGUGUGUGUGCUCACCAGUGAUGCUGGCAGUGACAGAGGGAGGGUUGGGAUGGAGGAACCUCUCAAAGCUUCACUAUUCCCAUCCCUGUGGAAGGGCAGGAAGAGGAUGGAGAGUGGCAAAUGGAACCAUGGAAUGGUUUAGGUUGGAAGGGAUUUUAAAGAUCACCCCAUUCCAACCCCCUGCUCAUGUGGUGGUGGCAGUGGGGACAGGGAGCUGGGGAGUCACAGCACAACUCCUGGGACAGUUUAUCACCAAUUUUUCAUGGUUUGUCCCCGUUUCUCUUUCCAAAAUAAGGAGAGGAGCUGAGAUAAAAGUCGCUACACUUCUCUCAAAAAACUUUUUGGGAUAGAGAUGCAGAAAGCUGCCAGGGGGCUGGAGGCUGUUGGGAAUUAUGUUCUGGGGUCAGUCUGGUUCCAAGAGGCUGAGUGCUCCAGAGAGCACGAGCCAACCUGAGCUUAUCUCAGCUCUGAGCACUCCUGACAUUGGAUAAAGAGCAUUGUUUACCCAAGAACAAUGUGGGGUUAAAAUUUAGUAAGUCCUUGUGCAACUCUUUAUGGAGAGGCAGCAAGGACAAAUAAACAUCUCUCAAAGAGAGUCAGUACUCAGGCUCAGUGUUUAAUUCAUUCUCUGGAAAUGCAGCUUGUUUACAGCCAUUCAUUGCAGGGGCUUGGAGCAGCAGGGGUCUGAUCCACUCCAAAUUUCAGGCAGAAUAAUAUCAUCCUUAUUUUGCUUUGGUUUGUCCUUAGGAGAGAACACAAGGUCAAACCUUCAACUGGUACAAAGUUGUUCUGAACUUUGUGAGUGAGGGUUUUUUUUUGUAUGUUUGUGUUUUGGGGUUUUUUGGCUUUUUUUGUUAUUGGUUUUUUGUUUGUUUGUUUGACAAAGUUUUUCCUCUGCUCUCUCUCCCUUUCCAUGCCUCCCUCUCCUUCCAGCCCAGGAGGAGCCCAGGGUACC